AAUAGUAAUUUAGACCUUCAUAAAAUGCAACACAAUUAUUUGUAAACUUAACUACUUACUUAAACACAGUCAAUAUUAAAUUAUUUAAUGAGUAUGCAGUAGGUGUAUAACAGUAUAUUAAAUCAUCACAAUUUGUAUGUUCUAACAGAUCAAAUAUCAUCUGUUUUUCAUGGUAAGUUAUCUAACAAUUUCAUAGUUAUUUUAUGGUAAAUGUAAAGUAUAUGGUCCAAUAAUUGCAUUUGUCUACAGGAUUUCAUAUCUCUGAAUAGACUUCUGAUAUAGAACCUCUGCGUUUCAUGAAGAUACAGUCAUUGUAAUAUCUCCGGAGAUAAUACAAAUAAUUAAAAUUUUUUUUUUAUAUAUUACUCACAGUGAUGAGAACUAUAAAUAUUUAUAUUUAUUAAAUGCUUAUGUUUUGGUAAGAAAAAAAUUAAAAAAUAACUUUUAACUUUAUUAUUUUAAAUUUGAAGAUAACCAUUUUAUAGAGAUUAUUCUUCUAAAAAUGUUGACGUUCCAACUUUUUAUUUUCAUAAAAUUUCUGAUUUGUAUAAUUUUUUACAGAGAAAAAGUGUAUAGUUAAUGGUAGAUAUAAUUAUGUUAUACUAGCUCCACGUUUAUGUAAAUAUUGUCAUGACUUAUCACUUAUCAUAGUAAUUUAUUUUUUUGUUGUAAGCACGUAAUUAAAUCUUAUAAUAUUUGAACACAUUAAAUAUGGAAUUUAGUUUUAUGUAUACCUAUUGGAAUAUAUUAUGUAAGUAGUUACUUGAAAGAAUAUAUUUUAAAAUUAUGGGUGUCUGCAGAAAUAUUGUAUUAACAAAUUUAACUUAAAAAUGUACAGGUCAAAUUAUUUUGCAUCAAUACAUCACUUACAAAUUACAAAUACUGGGAGGGCCUUGUCUGUUCUUUCACAGAUUAGUGAUCAAUAAUGUUUAUAAUUAUUCAUUGUCCUUUUAUAUAAUAAUUCACAUAAAGGAAUAAUUCAAUACUUUUGAUACUUUAAAAUAAACUAUUAAAAAAUGUAAAUUUUAAAUAAUUUGUACAGUUAAUAAAAUCAAUUAGAUUAUUCACGAAAAAAGUUACAUUUUGCAUUCUAUAACUAUUAUUGUAAAAAAAUAAAUUGUAGAACUUCAAAUUCAACAUUAAUUUAGUACCACACCAACAAAUAUUUAUAAUGAAUACAUAAAAAACCUACAGCUUCAACUAGUUUAUUUUCUUUUUUGAGGUUUUGAAAUAAUUAAAUUUAGUACAUAUGUUUUUCCUGUGGCACCUGGGGGUCUAAAAUAAAUAAAUCAUUUUUUUAGGAAUUAAUAUUCUCCAACACUGUAUUAUAAAUAUUAUAUUUUUGAUCAAAUGUAAGUUGAUUUUAAAUUAUUGACACAUUUUCAUUUUCACGUUCUUUUCAUAAUAUACAGAACUAUUUAAAUUUACUACGCUAAUUGGAGUUCAGUGAGGACUUGUUAUUUAAUAAUGUUUGAGAUCUUUUUCGAUCAAAGCUAUCAAUUUGUCUUCUAUUGGAAAUAAUGUUGUAAAUUAAAUCAUUAAAUUUAGUAUCGAGAUCUACCAAUUUUUCUUUGUAAAUAUAUAAUACAUACGUAAUUAUUUUACCAUAAUGUGGCAUAUAUUGUUGAAAUGGAAACACUAUUAACCGAACUCCGCUUAGAAUCGUUCUUCGUUAGUAAUAGUUAAUCGUUGCAUGCAGAUAUACAUUACGUUUCCUCCCCCUUCCCAACCUCCUCUCUUCUACAACAGUGGACCACUACGUGCAAAGUAUGUCUGUCUUUUUUUCUCUGAAUUAUUAAAAAUUAUUGAAAAAAAACGAAUUUAAUGGAAUAAAAAUUUGAAACGUCCAAAUGGUCCGAAGAACAAACCCUAUAAAAUUAAUAUCUUCAAAUUUUUCAAAAAAAAUAAAAUGCAAAAUUUUUUUUUAAAUUUUAUACAAAAAUAUGAAAAUUUAAUUCAAAUAUUUCAUUCUUCUUAUUCUUCAUCCCUGUAAAUGAUCACAAAAAAAAAAAAAAAUUUUAUCAAUAAAUUGUAUCAUUAAGUCAUCAUGGAUUCGUUGAUAAUUAUGUUUAUGUAAACGUAUUAGAUAUUUUAAACCUAUAUUUCAUGGACAUUUUUCUUGUAGGUUGUAAAACUGCAAAAGAAUGUGCCCUUUUUGCAUACCAAUACCUGG
This is a non-coding RNA of Cinara cedri, 2173 nucleotides long. The record is from the annotation of a GenBank genome assembly. Lineage: Eukaryota; Metazoa; Arthropoda; Insecta; Hemiptera; Aphididae.